GGAAAACCAAAGCAAAACAAAAUCAACUUGACUAAGCAAUCACUUGUUUCGAUGUUUUCUUGUACCCUUGAUUAUUAAUUCCUCAGAACUCCUAAGGAUUCAUGCAAAAUUUCCAAUUUAACACUGUUUCCAAUCUUAUCAGAAAAUUUCUCUCAUGGAACUGAAAUAGCACUCUUGGAAAGCUUUCAUGCUUCAAGUAUAUAAGUAGAAUCCAAACGCUUUCCAGAAUAUAUACAGGACACAACAAGGAAAAUUGAAAUGAAUGAGUGAAUAAACCCAUAACUAUACUUAAAUAAGAUGAUAUUGGAAUGGAAAGAACAACUACAAAUACAUGUACGCUCAAGAAUCCAACUACUAAACAAAGAC
This 366-nucleotide unclassified non-coding RNA is filed under the name Hevea brasiliensis (rubber tree). The record is from RNAcentral. Lineage: Eukaryota; Viridiplantae; Streptophyta; Magnoliopsida; Malpighiales; Euphorbiaceae.